This 253-nucleotide ribosomal RNA is filed under the name uncultured bacterium. RNAcentral's name for it is "partial 16S ribosomal RNA". It matches the Rfam family "Bacterial small subunit ribosomal RNA", at positions 524 to 776 of the family's 1533-position model. The record is from RNAcentral.
UACGGAGGGGGCUAGCGUUGUUCGGAAUUACUGGGCGUAAAGCGCACGUAGGCGGCUUUGUAAGUUAGAGGUGAAAGCCCGGGGCUCAACUCCGGAAUUGCCUUUAAGACUGCAUCGCUAGAAUCGUGGAGAGGUAAGUGGAAUUCCGAGUGUAGAGGUGAAAUUCGUAGAUAUUCAGAAGAACACCAGUGGCGAAGGCGACUUACUGGACACAUAUUGACGCUGAGGUGCGAAAGCGUGGGGAGCAAACAGG